UCCGGUGAUGAUGGCGAAGGGGUUCCACCUGUUCCCAUACCGAACACAGAAGUUAAGCCCUUCAGCGCCGAUGGUACUUGGCUGGACACGGCCCGGGAGAGUAGGACGUUGCCGGAA
RNAcentral lists this ribosomal RNA (117 nucleotides) under Candidatus Egerieenecus merdigallinarum. The record is from RNAcentral. Lineage: Bacteria; Bacillati; Bacillota; Clostridia; Eubacteriales.